This 397-nucleotide ribosomal RNA is filed under the name uncultured bacterium. RNAcentral's name for it is "partial 16S ribosomal RNA". It matches the Rfam family "Bacterial small subunit ribosomal RNA", at positions 523 to 918 of the family's 1533-position model. The record is from RNAcentral.
AUACGUAGGGGGCGAGCGUUGUCCGGAAUGAUUGGGCGUAAAGGGCGCGUAGGCGGCCUGUUAAGUCUGGAGUGAACGUCCUGUUUUCAAGAUGGGAAUUGCUUUGGAUACUGAUGGGCUUGAGUGCAGGAGAGGUUAUCGGAAUUCCCGGUGUAGCGGUGAAAUGCGUAGAGAUCGGGAGGAACACCAGUGGCGAAGGCGGGUAACUGGACUGCAACUGACGCUGAGGCGCGAAAGUGUGGGGAGCAAACAGGAUUAGAUACCCUGGUAGUCCACACUGUAAACGAUGAAUGCUAGGUGUAAGAGGUAUCGACCCCUUUUGUGCCGGAGUUAACACAAUAAGCAUUCCGCCUGGGGAGUACGGCCGCAAGGUUGAAACUUAAAGGAAUUGACGGGG